Molecule: ribosomal RNA, 253 nt
Filed under: uncultured bacterium
Lineage: Bacteria
Description: partial 16S ribosomal RNA
Rfam family: Bacterial small subunit ribosomal RNA
Source: RNAcentral
UACGUAGGGCGCAAGCGUUGUCCGGAAUUAUUGGGCGUAAAGAGCUCGUAGGUGGUUUGUCGCGUCUGCCGUGAAAGCCCGGGGCUUAACUCCGGGUCUGCGGUGGAUACGGGCAGACUAGAGUCCGGUAGGGGAGCGUGGAAUUCCUGGUGUAGCGGUGAAAUGCGCAGAUAUCAGGAGGAACACCAGCGGCGAAGGCGGCGCUCUGGGCCGGAACUGACGCUGAGGAGCGAAAGCGUGGGUAGCAAACAGG